ACGGGUGAGUAAUGCCUAGGAAUCUGCCUGGUAGUGGGGGACAACGUUUCGAAAGGAACGCUAAUACCGCAUACGUCCUACGGGAGAAAGCAGGGGACCUUCGGGCCUUGCGCUAUCAGAUGAGCCUAGGUCGGAUUAGCUAGUUGGUGGGGUAAUGGCUCACCAAGGCGACGAUCCGUAACUGGUCUGAGAGGAUGAUCAGUCACACUGGAACUGAGACACGGUCCAGACUCCUACGGGAGGCAGCAGUGGGGAAUAUUGGACAAUGGGCGAAAGCCUGAUCCAGCCAUGCCGCGUGUGUGAAGAAGGUCUUCGGAUUGUAAAGCACUUUAAGUUGGGAGGAAGGGCAGUAAGUUAAUACCUUGCUGUUUUGACGUUACCGACAGAAUAAGCACCGGCUAACUCUGUGCCAGCAGCCGCGGUAAUACAGAGGGUGCAAGCGUUAAUCGGAAUUACUGGGCGUAAAGCGCGCGUAGGUGGUUCGUUAAGUUGGAUGUGAAAGCCCCGGGCUCAACCUGGGAACUGCAUCCAAAACUGGCGAGCUAGAGUACGGUAGAGGGUGG
RNAcentral lists this ribosomal RNA (563 nucleotides) under Pseudomonas syringae. RNAcentral's name for it is "bacterial SSU rRNA". It matches the Rfam family "Bacterial small subunit ribosomal RNA", at positions 102 to 661 of the family's 1533-position model. Lineage: Bacteria; Pseudomonadati; Pseudomonadota; Gammaproteobacteria; Pseudomonadales; Pseudomonadaceae. The record is from RNAcentral.